UUUUUUUUUUUUUUUUUUUUUUUUUGGCUUCACCUGCAGCAUAUGGAAGUUCCCAGGUUAGGGGUCGAAUCAGAUGUAGCUGCAGGCCUACACCACAGCCAUGGCAAAACUCAAUCCUUAACCCACUGAGUAAAGCCAGGGAUUGAACCCACAUCCUCUUGGCGCUACGAUAAGCCACAGUGGGAACUCCCCAAUAGGUAAUUUAUAUAAAUGGCCACGUGUAAGGACGCAUAGUUUUGAGUCCCUGGGUAACUGAAUCUGAUCUGAACCUAUCUUGUAAAAUUUUUCAUGCCUCAUGGAUUCAAGACAAAGGCUUGUAGGUUCAGAUUCCUCAAUUUCCUACUUAAACGUGAGAGAGAUUUCUUGAUUUCACAACUCAAAUUUCUAAGAAUCCUUUCAAAAGCAUUUUUUAUGAGUUCAAUAAAAGUUGCUUUACACCAUGAUGUCACCCAUCUGCACUUCUAUAUCGUAAAAGAACCUUAAAAUUAUUUAGGACAUGCUUUGGUAUGUUAUAAAAUCGUCAGUGCCAAGAAGAACUUUUUUAGUUUUUAUUGCAAAACACUCCCAUACAUAGGAGGCAGAACAACUUAUCUGAACCAACAGUAGAUUUGGAAGCAGUCUGCAAAAGUUGUCCAAAAAUGUGUUAGACAGCCAGGUUGUGAUGGAGGCUGGAAUUCCGUAGUUACAGACGGUUGGUUUUCCAUGUGCCAUUUUAAGAAUUCUAUUUGCUCUAAGUGCAAGUUGAAAUUUUAUAUUUAAAAGUAGAAUCCUGAAGUAACGAUAAGCUAUUUCUUAUUAGGCUGGCCUUCAGUGAUAUUAUGGAAAGCAUAACAUUAAAAUAAAACAUCUUGAAAACACUGAGCAACCUAAAAGUUAUUCUUGUAACUACUGGUAAUGCUAGUGUAUUCAGAUUUAUCCAUGAGGUUUUAAAUACCUGUAAUUCUACUGGGCGGUACCUUUUACUUUAAAAUGCAAAUGAGGCAACAGUGGUGGAGGACGCCACGCCCUUUUACAGAAUCCUAAGUAGAUCUACAUAGUUCUGAGAUGAAGAAAAAAAACCAAAAACCAGAUAAAUGCAAUGACCUCUUGAAGGGCAACAACACAAUCUGGCAAGUAGAUGAGUUUUAUCAAUUAUUAUUAUUAUUAUUACUAUUUUAAUUUUUAUGGCCGCACCUGUGGCAUAUGGAAGUUCCCAGGCUAGGGGUCUAAUUGGAGCUGCAGCUGCUGGUCUAUGCCACAGCCACAGCAAGGAGGGAUCCAAGCUGCUUUUUCGUCCUAUACCACAGAUCAUGGUAAUACCAUAUCCUUAUCCCACUGAUUGAGACCAGGGAUCGAACCCACAUCUUCAUGGAUACUAGUCAUGUUUGUUACCAUGGUUCCACAAUGGGAAAACUCCAAGCUUAUCAGUUCUUGAUAAACUCGUAUAAUUUCAAAUUAUCUUGCUCAAGUCCUUAGUUAUAAAACAUCCAACAUAUUGAAGAUUCCAGGUUAGUAAAAGCCAAAUCUUAAAAAAGGAAAAAGUAAGAAGUUAUUUCAGAACUUCUAGGCACUUGUGGAAAUAUGGAAUGACAUUUAGCUCAACAGACACCUGGUGUUUUCUGAAAUACCAGAGAAAUUCUUUCUGGUUUCCAUAGGCUUUAAAAUGCUCUGAUUUAAUGGUGGAAAGGGGUUUGAGAAAUCGUGAUAUGAAGAAUUGAAUAAAACUAACAAUAUACUAUGUAUUCAAUUAACUUUUGAUGAAGGAUGAAGAGAAAGUACAUCCAUUAAACAUUAAACAUUCUGAGAUGUGAUCUAUCAACAAAGACAACACAAAUGUUGCUUUUAAAUGUUUAAAGACUGCAAUUCUCUUUUCUCUUUAUUCAAACCACAGUCAAUUUUACACAAAAGUAAUAAAGAAACCAGACACUAAAAAAAUAGUUAAAUUAAAAAAUGGCUCUUUGAAUAUGAUUGCACAGCUUUAAAAAUUAUUUAGGGCCAACAGGCACAUGAAAAGAUGUCAACAUCAUUAAUCGUUAGGGAAAUGCAAAUCAAAACCACCAUGAGAUAUCACCUCAUGCUCAUUAAGAUAAAUAUUACAAACAAAGAAACAAAAAUCCCCCCAAAUCAGAAAAUAACAAGUACUGGGAAGGGAUGUGGAAAAACUGGGAGACUUGGGCACUUUUGGUGGGAACAAAUGUAAAAUGGUACAGCCACCAUGUAAAACAGUAUUGGUUGUCCUGCAAAGAAUUAAACGUAGAAUUAUCAUAUGAUCCAGGAAUUCUACUUCUGAGUAUACACUCAAAAUAAAUGAAAGCGGAAACUUGAACAGAUAUUUGUACACCAUGUUCAUAGAAGUAUUAUUCAUACAAUCAAAAGGUGGAAGUAACUGUCCAGUGGCAGAUGCAUGGGUAGACAAAACAUGGCAUAAGCAUGCAAUGGAAUAUUAUUCACCCUUAACAAGAAAGGAAAUUUUGACAUAUGCUAUAACAUGAAUGAGCCUUGAAGACAUUAUGCUAAAUGAAAUAAGCCAGUCAUAAAAGCACAAAUAGUGUAUGAUCCAUUUGUAUAAGGUUCCUAGAAUAGUCAUAUACAUAGAGAAAGAAAGCAGAAGAGUGGUGACCAAAGCUCUGUGUGUGUGUGUGUGUGUGUGUGUGUGUGUGGUCAGGGGGCUGUCACGCAGCCACACUGCAAACAGAGGAUGCAAAGCCCUUGGAACCGGAAUUUAAUUCCAUUUUCUUCCCCCUACUUUAACAAAGACAAAUGCAAACUACUGCUCUAAUUCUAAGGAGCAAUACUAGGGAUGGAUCUGCCUCCAAAAGACUCUAAAACCACCCUUUCAAAUGUGUCUCCUCCUGUCUCUGCUUCCCUGCCACUGCCCUUCUUUUCCUAGGAGGGCAUCUCUUUUUCUUGAAAGGAAUAGCUCACCCUUCUCAAAGUGAGGGAGAGGUUUCCCCUUGUGGCUUUAGAAUCCUUGCUAGCAAAUCCUUCAGCCAUGAUUUCCACAAACUUGUCCUGAAUUGUAUGAUAGAAGCCCCUGUACUAGAGUGUUCCCCCUUUUUUUUUUCCCUGAGUAAAUAAAUAAAGAUCCAUUGAGCAGUCUGAAUUUGUUUUUAUGAAGCAGAAGACGCUCACCCCAGUCCCUGAAUACUCUUUAGAGUGGAUGAAAGGAAGAAUUUAUGCCAUGCUGUGCAGGAAUAGUCUAUAACCCUCAUAUCUCUGCAGAUUCAUGUUCGUGAACAAGGCAAUGUAGAUAUUUAGGCGGAGAAACAGAACAGCAUGUCUCUUGAAGAGAGGUUUGCUGUUUCUCAGUUUUUAGACACUUCUAAUUUCCAAAAUUAGAGGAGGAAGUAAAGGUCUUUUUUUGGAUUGUUUUGCAUCUCCAAUCCAAGGUAGGGUUAUUCAGAUGAUUCUUUUCCUCC
Molecule: long non-coding RNA, 3398 nt
Filed under: Sus scrofa (pig)
Lineage: Eukaryota; Metazoa; Chordata; Mammalia; Artiodactyla; Suidae
Description: lncRNA (ENSSSCG00035077610.1)
Source: RNAcentral